RNAcentral lists this ribosomal RNA (775 nucleotides) under uncultured Neocallimastigales. Its description in RNAcentral is "partial large subunit ribosomal RNA". It matches the Rfam family "Eukaryotic large subunit ribosomal RNA", at positions 23 to 643 of the family's 3401-position model. The record is from RNAcentral. Lineage: Eukaryota; Fungi; Neocallimastigomycota; Neocallimastigomycetes; Neocallimastigales.
AGAGAGAGACAUGCGCGCAUAUCAAUAAGCGGAGGAAAAGAAACUAACAAGGAUUCCCUUAGUAACGGCGAGUGAAGCGGGAAGAGCUCAAAUUUGAAAUCUUCAAGGUUCUACCUUGACGAAUUGUAGUUUAUAGAAGUGUUUUCUGUUAGUGGAGUGGCAAAAGUUCUUUGGAAUAGGACAUCAUAGAGGGUGAGAAUCCCGUAUUUGGUCAUUCCUCCUAGCGUUGUGAUACACUUUCAACGAGUCGGAUUGUUUGGGAAUGCAGUCCAAAAUGGGUGGUAAAUUUCAUCUAAAGCUAAAUAUUGGCGAGAGACUGAUAGCGAACAAGUACCGUGAGGGAAAGAUGAAAAGAACUUUGAAAAGAGAGUUAAACAGUACGUGAAAUUGUCAAAAGGGAAGCGUUUGACACCAGUGUUGUUUUUCCGAAAAUCAAUUACGAAUGUUUUAUUUUUGAGGAGUUAUGACUUCAUCGGCUUGCUCCUUUCUUUACGAAACUUUCUUAAUGCACUUUUCGGUUAACAAGUUAACAUCAAUUUCUUUUGUUGUAAAAGGGUAUGAGGAAGGUGGCUUUCUUUUCGGAGAAAGUGUUUAUAGCCUUUGGCCUCUGCAAUCGGAGAGAUUGAGGUCUGCAGCGUAGAUCCUUCGGGGUUAGAUACGUUUGUGCUAAGUUAUAGCCUUUUCAUAGACAACUUGUUGACUAUGAUUCAGUCAUGUAGCUUACUCGCUGACGCUAUUUUACCUACGCUUAGGAUGUUGAUAGUCACAGCGUGUA